UCCGGUUGAUCCUGCCGGACCCCACUGCUAUCGGGAUAGGACUAAGACAUGCUAGUUGAGCGCUUCCAGCCAAUACGGAAGCGCAGCGCACAGCUCAGUAACACGUGGCUAAUCUGCCCUUGGGACCGGAACACCCCCGGGAAACUGGGGCUAAUUCUCGAUAGGUGAAGAACUCUGGAAUGAGUCUUCGCUUAAAAGACGUUUACGUUAUGCUCGUAGGCGUCGCCCAAGGAUGAGGCCGCGACCGAUCAGGUUGUUGGUGAGGUAAUGGCUCACCAAGCCUUUUACCGGUGCGGGCCGUGAGAGCGGGAGCCCGGAGAUGGGCACUGAGACAAGGGCCCAGGCCCUACGGGGCGCAGCAGUCGCGAAAACUUUGCAAUACACGAAAGUGUGACAGGGCUAUCCCGAGUGCCAUCCGCUGAGGAAGGCUUUUACCCAGUCUAGAACGCUGGGGGAAUAAGGAGAGGGCAAGUCUGGUGUCAGCCGCCGCGGUAAUACCAGCUCUCCGAGUGGUGUGGAUGUUUAUUGGGCCUAAAGCAUCCGUAGCUGGCUGAGUUAGUCCCUUGUUAAAUCCACCGAAUUAAUCGUUGGAUUGCGGGGGAUACUGCUCGGCUAGGGGACGAGAGAGGCAGACGGUAUUUCCGGGGUAGGGGUGAAAUCCUAUAAUCCCGGGAAGACCACCAGUGGCGAAGGCUGUCUGCUAGAACGCGCCCGACGGUGAGGGAUGAAAGCUGGGGGAGCGAACCGGAUUAGAUACCCGGGUAGUCCCAGCUGUAAACGAUGCAGGC
Molecule: ribosomal RNA, 788 nt
Filed under: uncultured archaeon
Lineage: Archaea
Description: bacterial SSU rRNA
Rfam family: Archaeal small subunit ribosomal RNA
Source: RNAcentral